UACGGGGGGUGCGAGCGUUGUCCGGAAUCACUGGGCGUAAAGGGCGCGUAGGUGGUUUGAUAAGGGUGUGGUGAAAGCCCGGGGCUCAACCCCGGGUCUGCCGUGCCGACUGUCAAACUCGAGGGCUGUAGAGGCAGACGGAAUUCCUGGUGUAGCGGUGAAAUGCGCAGAUAUCAGGAGGAACACCGGUGGCGAAGGCGGGUCUCUGGGCCAUAACUGACGCUGAGGAGCGAAAGCGUGGGGAGCGAACAGG
This 253-nucleotide ribosomal RNA is filed under the name uncultured bacterium. Its description in RNAcentral is "partial 16S ribosomal RNA". It matches the Rfam family "Bacterial small subunit ribosomal RNA", at positions 524 to 776 of the family's 1533-position model. The record is from RNAcentral.